This 301-nucleotide ribosomal RNA is filed under the name uncultured bacterium. RNAcentral describes it as "partial 16S ribosomal RNA". It matches the Rfam family "Bacterial small subunit ribosomal RNA", at positions 509 to 807 of the family's 1533-position model. The record is from RNAcentral.
CAGCAGCCACGGUAAAACGAAGGGGGCUAGCGUUGUUCGGAUUAACUGGGCGUAAAGGGUGCGUAGGCGGGUUUUUAAGUCAGGGGUGAAAUCCCGAGGCUCAACCUCGGAACGGCUUUUGAUACUGGAAAUCUUGAGUCUGGGAGAGGUGAGUGGAACUGCGAGUGUAGAGGUGAAAUUCGUAGAUAUUCGCAAGAACACCAGUGGCGAAGGCGGCUCACUGGCCCGGUACUGACGCUGAGGCACGAAAGCGUGGGGAGCAAACAGGAUUAGAUACCCGCGUAGUCCCUGUCUCUUAUAC